RNAcentral lists this small nucleolar RNA (50 nucleotides) under Pyrobaculum islandicum DSM 4184. Its description in RNAcentral is "PISsR51". The record is from RNAcentral. Lineage: Archaea; Thermoproteati; Thermoproteota; Thermoprotei; Thermoproteales; Thermoproteaceae.
GUGAUGAAGCUAGGCGCUGCCGAAAGAUGGCGACAGCUCGAGAGGGCUGA